Molecule: long non-coding RNA, 229 nt
Filed under: Eucalyptus grandis
Lineage: Eukaryota; Viridiplantae; Streptophyta; Magnoliopsida; Myrtales; Myrtaceae
Description: long non-coding RNA (EGRA_LNC000776)
Source: RNAcentral
UUCUGGCCAUGCAAAAUUUAUACCUUUGAAAUCUUGUCACGGUUUGGCUACAGGAUGAGAUGUUAAGACAGAGAUUCAUGGUUUACUAGCAAGAUGUGAAAUGUGCACGUUCAGAAAAAUUUUGCAAAACAGGUUCCAAUAUAAACAGGGUUAACCCUGUUCUUGUUCUUGCUGCUGUUUCUGUUGCUGUUGACAUCAAGUCAAGGAGGGCAAGUGGGCUGGGGUUGGC